ACGGAGGGUGCAAGCGUUACUCGGAAUCAUUGGGCGUAAAGCGCACGUAGGCGGUCUCUUAAGUCCGGCGUGAAAUCCUGGGGCUCAACCUCAGAUGGCCGUUGGAAACUAAGAGACUUGAGAGUGGAAGGGGUCAGUGGAAUUCCUGGUGUAGGAGUGAAAUCCGUAGAGAUCAGGAGGAACACCGGUGGCGAAGGCGACUGACUGGGCCAUUUCUGACGCUAAUGUGCAAAAGCGUGGGGAGCAAACAG
Molecule: ribosomal RNA, 251 nt
Filed under: uncultured prokaryote
Description: partial 16S ribosomal RNA
Rfam family: Bacterial small subunit ribosomal RNA
Source: RNAcentral